RNAcentral lists this ribosomal RNA (253 nucleotides) under uncultured bacterium. RNAcentral's name for it is "partial 16S ribosomal RNA". It matches the Rfam family "Bacterial small subunit ribosomal RNA", at positions 524 to 776 of the family's 1533-position model. The record is from RNAcentral.
UACAGAGGUCUCAAGCGUUGUUCGGAUUCAUUGGGCGUAAAGGGUGCGUAGGCGGCGCGGUAAGUCGGGUGUGAAAUCUUGGAGCUUAACUCCGAAACUGCAUUCGAUACUGCCGUGCUUGAGGACUGGAGAGGAGACUGGAAUUUACGGUGUAGCGGUGAAAUGCGUAGACAUCGUAAGGAAGACCAGUGGCGAAGGCGGGUCUCUGGACAGUUCCUGACGCUGAGGCACGAAGGCCAGGGGAGCAAACGGG